RNAcentral lists this ribosomal RNA (253 nucleotides) under uncultured bacterium. Its description in RNAcentral is "partial 16S ribosomal RNA". It matches the Rfam family "Bacterial small subunit ribosomal RNA", at positions 524 to 776 of the family's 1533-position model. The record is from RNAcentral.
UACGUAGGGUGCAAGCGUUAAUCGGAAUUACUGGGCGUAAAGCGUGCGCAGGCGGUUGUGCAAGACAGAUGUGAAAUCCCCGGGCUUAACCUGGGAAUUGCAUUUGUGACUGCACGGCUAGAGUGUGUCAGAGGGGGGUAGAAUUCCACGUGUAGCAGUGAAAUGCGUAGAGAUGUGGAGGAACACCGAUGGCGAAGGCAGCCCCCUGGGUCAAGAUUGACGCUCAUGCACGAAAGCGUGGGGAGCAAACAGG